This is a long non-coding RNA of Drosophila ficusphila, 494 nucleotides long. RefSeq lists it as uncharacterized. Lineage: Eukaryota; Metazoa; Arthropoda; Insecta; Diptera; Drosophilidae. The transcript is spliced from 2 exons. The record is from RefSeq and is a predicted model, not a curated record.
CUUAUAAAAGUUUUCUCGCUUGACAGUUCAAAUUAAGGGAGAAACUCCGAAGGAAUUGUAAUCAUGAAUCAAACAAAGAACAUGAUAUUCUUGCACAAUUUGCCGGAUUGCACCAGGGAAGAACUGGAAGCACAUUGCAGUCCGAUUGGAAAAAUUACUGGAUCUGUGGUUCUGGGACGACAAGGAUUUAUCGAGUUUGCCACUGACGAAAUGGCCGAAAUCGCAGAACUGUGGCUCUCCGGAUCCAUUUUCAAGUCAAAAAUGAUUUUUGUCUGCAAUGCAAGCUCGAGAUCGAAGGUAGCUGAUUCCCUUAAUAAGGAGUUUAAAUUGGAUGAAUGACUAAAAGGAGGUAGACGAGCAUUAGGUUUUUGAUGAAAGGCCAAAAGAAAAUACCGCUGAGGACAAAGAACGUAAAGACUUUGGGACCUCAAAUAAAUUCUAUACAAUACUGUGCACAAAUGCAAUUGGCAAUAAAAAAAUCAUUUGCUAUAGUU